AUUGCAUCAUUCUAAGGAUGAUGCAAGAUCGACUAAGUUGAAUAAAAUUCUAGGUAGAAUUAUGAUAAUGACAUUGUCUGCCUAUGUGUCUUGACCAAAUUACGUGCCAGCAGUCGCGGCAAUACGUAGAAGACUAGUGUUAUUCAUGUUUAAUCGGUUUAAAGGGUACCUAGACGGUAAAUCAAGCUUUCUCAUAAGAAAUGGACUAAUUUACUAGAGUUACUUACGGUGGGGCAUUAAAGUACUGUUGGUGUAGAGAUGAAAUUCUGUCAUACCUCUUUUCGAAAAAAAAAUCAUGGCACUGGUACAGGCGAAGGCAUCCCCUUAUGUGAUAACUGACGUUGAGGGACGAAGGCUUAAUGUAACAAACAGGAUUAGAUACCCUAUUAGUUGAAGCAGAAAAUGAUGAAUGUCAUAGACUAGAUAGAUAAGUUUAUUCUAUAAAUGAAAGUGUAAGCAUUCCACCUCAUGAGUAAUUUGGCAACAUUGGAAUUGAAAUCAUUAGACCGUUUCUGAAACCAG
This 522-nucleotide ribosomal RNA is filed under the name Austroparmelina labrosa. RNAcentral's name for it is "SSU rRNA". It matches the Rfam family "Bacterial small subunit ribosomal RNA", at positions 388 to 929 of the family's 1533-position model. The record is from RNAcentral. Lineage: Eukaryota; Fungi; Ascomycota; Lecanoromycetes; Lecanorales; Parmeliaceae.